GGCAGCAGUAGGGAAUCUUCGGCAAUGGGCGAAAGCCUGACCGAGCAACGCCGCGUGAAUGAUGAAGGCCUUCGGGUUGUAAAAUUCUGUUAUAAGGGAAGAACGACUUUAGUAGGAAAUGGCUAAAGUGUGACGGUACCUUAUGAGAAAGCCACGGCUAACUACGUGCCAGCAGCCGCGGUAAUACGUAGGUGGCAAGCGUUAUCCGGAAUUAUUGGGCGUAAAGAGCGCGCAGGUGGUUGAUUAAGUCUGAUGUGAAAGCCCACGGCUUAACCGUGGAGGGUCAUUGGAAACUGGUCGACUUGAGUGCAGAAGAGGGAAGUGGAAUUCCAUGUGUAGCGGUGAAAUGCGUAGAGAUAUGGAGGAACACCAGUGGCGAAGGCGGCUUCCUGGUCUGUAACUGACACUGAGGCGCGAAAGCGUGGGGAGCAAACAGGAUUAGAUACCCUGGUAGUCCACGCCGUAAACGAUGAGUACUAAGUGU
RNAcentral lists this ribosomal RNA (484 nucleotides) under uncultured Bacillota bacterium. RNAcentral describes it as "bacterial SSU rRNA". It matches the Rfam family "Bacterial small subunit ribosomal RNA", at positions 347 to 823 of the family's 1533-position model. The record is from RNAcentral. Lineage: Bacteria; Bacillati; Bacillota.